RNAcentral lists this ribosomal RNA (484 nucleotides) under uncultured bacterium. RNAcentral describes it as "partial 16S ribosomal RNA". It matches the Rfam family "Bacterial small subunit ribosomal RNA", at positions 28 to 523 of the family's 1533-position model. The record is from RNAcentral.
GACGAACGCUGGCGGCGUGCUUAACACAUGCAAGUCGAACGAUGAGGCCGGAGCUUGCUCUGGUGAAUUAGUGGCGAACGGGUGAGCAACACGUGAGUAACCUGCCCUUGACUCUGGGAUAACUGCUAGAAAUGGUAGCUAAUACCGGAUACGACCCUCGGAGGCAUCUCCAGGGGGUGGAAAGAAUUUCGGUCAAGGAUGGACUCGCGGCCUAUCAGCUAGUUGGUGAGGUAACGGCUCACCAAGGCGACGACGGGUAGCCGGCCUGAGAGGGUGACCGGCCACACUGGGACUGAGACACGGCCCAGACUCCUACGGGAGGCAGCAGUGGGGAAUAUUGCACAAUGGGCGCAAGCCUGAUGCAGCAACGCCGCGUGAGGGAUGACGGCCUUCGGGUUGUAAACCUCUUUUAGUAGGGAAGAAGCGAAAGUGACGGUACCUGCAGAAAAAGCACCGGCUAACUACGUGCCAGCCGCCGCAGUAA